RNAcentral lists this ribosomal RNA (249 nucleotides) under uncultured bacterium. Its description in RNAcentral is "partial 16S ribosomal RNA". It matches the Rfam family "Bacterial small subunit ribosomal RNA", at positions 355 to 621 of the family's 1533-position model. The record is from RNAcentral.
UAAGGAAUCUUCCACAAUGGACGAAAGUCUGAUGGAGCAACACCGCGUGCAGGAUGAAGGUCUUCGGAUCGUAAACUGCUUUUAUAUGGGAAGAUUGUGACGGUACCAUAUGAAUAAGGACCGGCUAACUACGUGCCAGCAGCCGCGGUAAUACGUAGGGUCCAAGCGUUAUCCGGAAUCACUGGGCGUAAAGCGUGCGUAGGCGGCGUGUUAAGUGUGAUGUUAAAUCGUGUGGCUCAACCCUAUCGA